CUGGCCCUUCGGGGCUUUAUCGAUCUAGAGAUCAAAUUUUUAUUGAUCAGGAGAUCCUAUCUCCAUCUUAGUCCUUCGGAGCUUUACCAAUUCAAAGAUUGAAUUUUUAUAGAUCAAAAGAUCUUAUCUCCUUUUUGGCCCUUCAGGAUUUUAUCAAUUUAGAGAUCGAAUUUUCAUAGAUCGGGAGAUUUUAUCUCCUUUUUGGCCCUUCGAGGUUUUAUUGAUCUAG
Molecule: long non-coding RNA, 229 nt
Filed under: Elaeis guineensis (African oil palm)
Lineage: Eukaryota; Viridiplantae; Streptophyta; Magnoliopsida; Arecales; Arecaceae
Description: long non-coding RNA (EGUI_LNC036707)
Source: RNAcentral